AACGAACGCUGGCGGCAUGCCUAACACAUGCAAGUCGAACGAGACCUUCGGGUCUAGUGGCGCACGGGUGCGUAACGCGUGGGAACCUGCCCUUAGGUUCGGAAUAACUCCCCGAAAGGGGUGCUAAUACCGGAUAAUGUCUUCGGACCAAAGAUUUAUCGCUUUUGGAUGGGCCCGCGUUGGAUUAGCUAGUUGGUAGGGUAAAAGCCUACCAAGGCGACGAUCCAUAGCUGGUCUGUGAGGAUGAUCAGCCACACUGGGAAUGAGACACGGCCCAGACUCCGACGCGAGGGAGCAGUGGGGAAUAUUAGACAAUGGGCGAAAGCCUGAUCCAGCAAUGCCGCGUGAGUGAUGAAGGCCUUAGGGUUGUGAAGCUCUUUUACCCGGGAUGAUAAUGACAGUACCGGGAGAAUAAGCUCCGGCUAACUCCGUG
RNAcentral lists this ribosomal RNA (433 nucleotides) under uncultured bacterium. Its description in RNAcentral is "partial 16S ribosomal RNA". It matches the Rfam family "Bacterial small subunit ribosomal RNA", at positions 29 to 507 of the family's 1533-position model. The record is from RNAcentral.